AGACAGACAGACAGACAGGUUAGGAGGUGUUACUAUACAGACAGACAGACAGGCAGGCAGACAGACAGGUUAGAGUUAGGAGGUGUUACUGAACAGACAGACAGACAGACAGGUUAGGGUUAGGAGGUGUUACUAGACAGACAGACAGUCAGGUUAGGAGGUGUCACUAGACAGACAGACAGACAGACAGGUUAGGGUUAGGAGGUGUUACUAGACAGACAGACAGACAGGUUAGGGUUAGGAGGUGUUACUAUACAGACAGACAGACAGACAGAGACAGACAGACAGGUUAGGGUUAGGAGGUGUUACUAUACAGACAGACAGACAGGUUAGGGUUAGGAGGUGUUACUAGACAGACAGACAGACAGGUUAGGGUUAGGAGGUGUUACUAGACAGACAGACAGACGGGUUAGGGUUAGGAGAUGUUACUAGACAGACAGACAGACAGACAGACAGACAGACAGACAGACAGGUUAGGGUUAUGAGAUGUUACUGAAAAGACAGACAGACAGACAG
Molecule: long non-coding RNA, 516 nt
Filed under: Salmo salar (Atlantic salmon)
Lineage: Eukaryota; Metazoa; Chordata; Actinopteri; Salmoniformes; Salmonidae
Description: lncRNA (ENSSSAG00000106904.1)
Source: RNAcentral